UCUAGGACUUACUUCUAACGAAAAAAAUGAUUUUGAUGAAUAUCAUAAUCAGGGAACACAAAGCAUUAAGGUUGCAGAAGGAAAACCCGACCUUUUGAAUUGGUGGAGGAAUCGCGGCAAGGCAAUUCCAAAGCUUCAACAGAUUCAAGUGAAGACGGAAUAGAUGCGUUGGAAGAACACGCUAUACCACCACUUUCGGAAAAAGCAACUGGAGAAAUGUUAGAAGAAUUAAGACGAGACUAGUUUGGAGAGUACGAAUAUUAUAUAAUUCUAGGCCUAAUUAAAACUGAACCCUUCUUAGAAGGUGGUUGCGUAGAUUAGGCACUCUUCAAAUAUUUAUAAAUUGUAAUAUAAAUUGUACUAUUUACUUUUUUUAUAAAUAAAAUGAUAGGCUAUUCGCUUUAU
Molecule: long non-coding RNA, 405 nt
Organism: Solanum dulcamara
Lineage: Eukaryota; Viridiplantae; Streptophyta; Magnoliopsida; Solanales; Solanaceae
Exons: 2
Source: RefSeq, a predicted model, not a curated record